UACAGAGGUCUCAAGCGUUGUUCGGAUUCAUUGGGCGUAAAGGGCGCGUAGGCGGUGCGGUAAGUCACCUGUGAAAUCUCCUGGCUCAACUGGGAGCUUGCAGGCGAAACUGCCGUGCUGGAGUGUGGGAGAGGUGAGUGGAAUUCCCGGUGUAGCGGUGAAAUGCGUAGAUAUCUGGAGGAACACCGGUGGCGAAGGCGGCAUCCUGGACCGGUAUUGACGCUGAGGCGCGAAAGCUAGGGGAGCAAACGGG
This 253-nucleotide ribosomal RNA is filed under the name uncultured bacterium. RNAcentral's name for it is "partial 16S ribosomal RNA". It matches the Rfam family "Bacterial small subunit ribosomal RNA", at positions 524 to 776 of the family's 1533-position model. The record is from RNAcentral.